UUGGGAUGGAUGGUCUGUCUACAAACUCCUCUGUGUAGUUCACAAGCGCCUCCCGCACAACUUCGUACCCGGUCAGGACCACAACUUUCUGGAACCCAAAGUGGAGGGUGAAGAUGGGGCCGUACUUUUCCGCAAGCUGAAAAAGAGGCGAGCUGUGAUGGUCAGGAAGGGAGGGAGCGUGCAUGCAGCAAGCACCUGUUGCUUUCUGAAAGGACAUAUUCCAUCCUGGCAUCCUGCUGGGAAUGGCUGCAGAGCCGCUACCUGCAGAAUGGCACCCAUGAGCUGGAGCUCAUCCCGGUCAAACACCAGGCAUCCUUGCUGGCAUCCAUAUGGAAUUCAGGCCUCUUAUCAUGAAAGGACCCCCACCCCCAUCAGUUCAUUAUUAAUCUGGUUUUGCUGUAAGGUGGAAAUAAAUUAAAAACAAUAAAACCCACCUAGAGUUAAAGACUGGACCACAAAUGGCAACAAAAGUUGGCAAACCAGAGAAAGAUGAAAAGAGAGAAGACAAUUCAGUACAAAUAAUGAUGCUGUUGCACAGGAAAAUUCUGGUGGCACUCCUGCAUCCCUGCUACUAGACCAGAUAAGCUGUGUAUCUCCUCGGCACUGCACUGGGGACUGUGGGAGGCUUGCUCCUGCCCAUGUCUAGCCCAUCACUGCCUCUGUAUCUUGCUUCCUGGCAACCUGAAAACAGCACUUGGGGACAGCCAAGAAGAGUUUGAGCUGAGCUGAAGCAAGGUGAUGGGAAGCCACAGUCCAAAUCUUCUGCCUAAGAAAACGCAAGGUGUAUGUGUGCAGCCUUAGCCUGUGCUGGGCCACCGGCAGCUUUCGCAGGGAAGAGGGGACACCCAUCAGUGCCCAACCAACACACACCAGUCGGUGCCUGCUGCUCAGUGCAACCACCAUUUUUUGCUCUCUGUGGGGUGAGAUGGAGGGAUAACCCCUCUGGAGUAAUCUCAAAGCAAAGGCAAACACACAGAGUAGCAAGGGACAAAAGCACGCAGAGGUAAUUCCGAACCGCCGUUCAGAGGCUGCAGCAGCAUCUGCCCAGCCCUGCUGGGUAAACUGACCCCAACCCUGACACUGCCCAUAACAACACCAGGUGCUGGAGCCUCACCCCAUGGCAGCACUAACCCCCCGAGGUCUGCUCCCACAACACAGCCCGUGUUUGCUGAGCACCAGUGUGUCGGGAGCCGUGAACCGGCGCUGUCUGUUUGCUCACUCUCUCCGUGACCCUGGCGCGGGUCGGUCCCCGCGGGUGCCGUCUGCUAAAGCCGGGCUCAGCAGCCCACAGAUCCGCCCCGGGCUGUGCCAGCCUCGUCUUGCACCGAAGGACACUUUACCACCCUAAGUGGGUGGUUUUCAGGAGGAAGUUGGAAAUAAACAGCCAAAGGCAUAAGAUCGUUCGGGGAAGAAUGAGCUCUCUUACAUGAUGAGGAAGCGCAAGGUUAAAGGGCACAGCACAAACCAGGUGAGGCAUGGGGUUCAAGGUAAAGCCGACAUCAGCAGUGAGAUCCAGGUCUGACUUAUCCACUCCUGGAGGGGGACGAAAAACAAAUUUGCGGAGCAAGCCCCCAAAAAAGAGGAACAGCUCCAUUUUGGCCAGUCCUUCACCAAGGCAAGCCCUUCGUCCUGAAAACAACCAGGAGAGAAGUUAAUGAUCAGCACUGUAACUGUUAGUGUUGAUCUCUGAGACCUAAACUGGAGAUACAGUCUGUAAGAGCAGACUGCUGAGGCAGCUCUCCUGGUUCAAUGACACGGUUCAUUUCUUCCUGAAUCUUUCCUUGGAGGGAGGAAAGGAUUAAGAAGCUGAUAACAAUCUUACCUUGCAACUGAAAUGACUUCCAGUUUGGCAAAGAUGAAGAAAAGGGAAAACUGUGACUAUUUGGGAAGAGUAGAAGUGGGAAGGUUUGGGAUGAUCUCCUCUUUAUGUGUGCUGAGUGGUAACUUAUGUCACACACAUGGGACAUCAUGACAACCUUUCAACCAGCAGUUUCAGUGGAGCCAUGGAGUAAGUCCAGCACAGCUCACUAUACAGAACCACAGAUGUGUUCUGUACAGGCUGGCUGGCUGAAAACAUUCUUGUUUUCAGGAAGCAAGUUGUGGGAGGCCAGGAGAACAAAUAUGGACAACUUGAUAUCCCCAAAAAAUCUGAAAGGAUUCGGAUCUCCAGGGUUCUCUUUCCCAUUCCGAAAUCCCGCAGUGUGGACAAGAUCACAAAAAUGGAUCUGUAAGAUGGCGAUACCCUCUGCUGUAAGAAGCAUGAUUCAAAAGGGCGUCCUUGAUGGUUUCGUAUCCAGCCAGUACCACGGCUUUCCUGGGUCCAAAAUGCACAGUGAAGACGUUGCCAUAUGUCUUGGAUAGCUGACAAGCCCAGGAUGCCCCUUUUUCUACAAUGAACUGGAGGAUUUCAGUGUCUGCACUGCCCUCUCACUGCAGAUGUUCAAGUGGCUGAAGGAGUGCACUGUGGACUGUCUUUCCUCCAUCACAGUGUCCAGUAAGCACACACAGGGCAUGUGACAAGUCACUCACAGCACCUCAACUGUCUCUACAGCAACCAGAUGAUAUCUGAAUUCACACUGACUUGUCCCCACCUUCCUAUGGGAACACAGCAGACACUUUUGGAAACAAACAUUGCCCCUGGCUUUAUAAUAUUUAAGGGGGUUUUUUUCUUUCUUUUAGAAAUAAAAGUAUCCAUGGAACUGUGUAAGAAAAACCAAAUUUUUUAGCUAGAGAUAUAAAAGCCACAUAUCAAGUCCUUAAUAACCCUGGCCAGUGUGUGUGUGCAGGGGAAUGGCUGGGGAGGCAGAGUUGUGCUUUGCAUUGCAGGGAUAUAAUUAGCUUUGGAAAUGUGUGCAUAGGACCCCCUUCCCUCUGCUGUGGGGAUGAUACCCUUUCUUCCUUCCUUCCUUCCUUCCUUCCAUCCAUCCUUCCUAGAGGUCUGGCUGUAGUGAGACAUCUCUUGAUGGCAAAUAGUACUGAUCUGUCGGCAGACUGGCCCAAAUUGAGUCUUCUGCCUGCAGCCUCUGAAGGGCUUGAAAAACCAACAAUAUGGAGCUGAUUGCAAGGGAUGGGGUCUACACCGAAGUGCAUAGAAAGAAAGGAGUGUGUGUAUUAUAUUUAUACAUAUAAAUACAUGUUUGUGUGUGUACACCUCCGAAGGUAAAGUCAUUCUACCAGUCGGCCUAUAUGCCAGAUAUCUCAUUUCUGCCCUCUACGCAAAGCAAACACAAUUGCAUCUCCAUUUCUCUAGUUGCAUUUCUCACUUUGGGAAUUGCACAUUUUCCCCCUCUCUGCUCAUCCAGCCCCUACCUCUGUCAGCGACUGGAACGGCUUUUUCAGGUCCACCACGUUCAAGUUUCCGAUCAGAGGAAGAGGCCGUGGCCCAGGAGGCAAACUGCAAACCGACUUCUUCAAGCUGGUGAGAAAGUAAAGGAGAGCAAACAGCCCUGCUGCCAAACAGAGCAGUGAGCUGGAGCCCAAAUACUGCAGGAAACUCUGCACGGCCAUGUCCAAAUCCAAGUGUGGGCAUGAGCACCUUGGGGUCUCUUUAUAGCCCUUCUGUCAUUUCCUGAACACACCUUCUGGGGAAGUGGCUUUGUGCAGAGAAAAGGACUCUGUGGUCUUGUUAACAUCCAUUUAGACCACAUGUACUUCAUUAUACUGACAAAUAAACCACCCUAUUUUAUUCUGAACCAUGGAUUAUCGUAAUCAGGAGCUCCUAUUUCAUCUCUAACACUGGGACAAGGUGUUUGUUUUCCAGUGAAAAUCUGUGUUAUGGGCAUGUUGUUGUCUGCAUUAUUUCAGGGGCAGAACUCAAGGACAGGACCCAAGCUGGAUUGCUGCCAUGGUGCCAGGUCACAGGACUCAGCUGGACCACUGGUGAUGCAAUGGAGGAAGCAGGACACAGGAAAGCCCACAGUAACACAUGGCCCAGGGUGCAGCUGGCAAGUAAGCCCUCAGGAAAGACAAGACUGACCAUGGAGGAGUUGGAACAGUGGUUGCAUGAAGAUGUGCUAAUUCAGGAUUGCCAGUGGGAGAAGAUCUAUUUGCAAGUGACAGCUCUGAUUCUCUUUGCAUUCCUGCCACCCCACUGAAACCACCUCCUUGAGCAACACAGUGUUUUCAUUGCUAGCAUUGUUAUUGAUCUCUGUCCCAAAAAUUCUCUACCAGCAAUCCCAAACCACUCCUGAAACCACUUCAGUCAUUAUUUUGCAGUUUACUGUCCAGAGGACUGGGUGUCCAUGUCCGGCUCUGUGUUUGGUGAUGACUCCUUUUGUUUAUGGGCAGAUGCUUGUAAUCCUCUAGGAGAAACCGUCCCCUCCAGGCAAUCCUUCUGCCUAGAUUGGAAAAGAGAUCCCGAACCUUUGUAAUCUGGGAGGAGCCAGGAUCAGAGUGCAGCUGGCCAGGCAGAGGAUGGAGGCUGCCUGGGCAGCUGUUGCAGAGGGGGUGCCAGGCAGGAGCAGUAGUUUUUUGGCCCUCCAGGUGCACUGAGUCAUGCACCAUGCCAGGGCAGGGGCCUGCAAGAGCCUGCGUGCCCAGGAGACAGCUCCCCAAGAGCCACCUACACCCUCUGCAUCCUGGAGGGAUGACAACAAAGCUGAGGUGAUUAUGAACAAGAGGCCACUGUUGAAAUGGUAACUCGGGGGGAAAGAGUCGAUUUGAUGCUCUAUCACAUAUUCUCAAGUGGGGAUAUUUUGUUCCCCAGUUGCAGAUUCUGUCAGAUUACUGGGCUGUGCUGCUAUUCACCCCUUUAGAAAUCUUUAGCUUUAAUAAUACUUUUGAUAGAAUUCUCCAAGGCUCCCGGGUGCAGGCUCCACUGAUGGAAAAAUGAUGAUUACUUAUUAAUAAUAAUAAAAGUACAUUAGCCGAAGGCAAGGGGAAUCAAUAAACUCUAACUAAAUUGACAUGAAAAAGGUGCCUGCACAUCUGCCUGUUCUCCGAGGCUUGUUAUCAGGAGUGGAGUUUUUCACAAGGGGGAACUUUCUUGUGCAGGGUGGGCAAAGAAAAGAGGGCAAUGGAUGGUCGUAUCAGUCUCAAGAUUUUCUGCAAAACUAUGAGGUCUUUUUCUGCACUCUCUUCUCCCAGACAUUUCCAAGAAUAUCAGAGUCUUCUCUGAGAAAAUGGUGUGACCACUGGGACUCCUGACACUCUGUAAUACACAGUAAGAGGGAGGAAAAAACCCUACAUGGGGCCAGUUGGGUACCAGCGGAGGAAAUCUGUUGUUUCUGUUUACGUACACCUCUGUUGGAAUGGAGCUGGCUGCUGCCACAGCAAGCAAGAGCACCUUCCCAAGGGAUUCCAAUUUGUUUCAAGCUUCAGGUUGUACCUGGUUACAAUAUAGGGUGAAACCCUUUCUCAUGAGCCCACGGACUUGCAACCUGCUGGGCUGGUGCAUGCACUGUGGGAAAUAAUGGAGGAGCUCUCCAGCAGGAGGGAAUGAUUGCAGUCUUAAAAUACAGCCAAUCUGAUGCCUUCACCUCCAUUUCUUCCUCAUGUACCUUGGUUUCCAGUACGCAACUCCAAACACAGCUUACAACUGAGUUGCUGGCUUGCAGGUGAGGCAUCCCACACAGGACUGGGGAGAAAACGUUGCUCCCUGCUCACGUGUCUUUGUCUUUCUACCAGCCCAAGCCAGAACUGAUACCAUCUUAAGGUAAGCAGACCUUGUGGGCACAGCUCAGUUCCUCCUAGAAAAUGAGCCUGUACAUUAAACAGCCACAGUAAUUUCUGUGUGCUCAUCUGGAGAAGGUCAUAUCAUCUUCUAAUGGGACACAGGUUAACAAUGCUACAGUAACCGUAGGAUAAUGCAGGGAAAGAGUUGUUAUAAGGCCAUAAUUCAGUCAAUGACUGCUGAUAACAUAAUAAACCAUGAGAGUGAACACCAAGUGCUUGUGUGCCUUGCAAGGCUCUGCCACUGAUUUACAGCCUCUGGAGAUGCCUAUCAGCCCGUGCAUUGUUAUCAGGAAUAUAUAAAGCCUGAGCACACCCUAUUAAACAUUAACAUUUUUAAAGACCCAGAUGUGUUAAAACUCGGCCUGCUCCUCGCUAAUGGAUUUUGCUUGCCUUGACAAAUGCCACUGCAAAAAGAAAUCAAAAGCUUCCCGACUUUGACCUCUUUCAAUUUUUCAUCAUUAUGGCAUUGUUUUAUUGGAUUACACCCACUUCUUCCCACCCUGCCAAUCUGUAUUUCUGCAGGAUCACUACAGGGUGGUGAUCAGUAUCUCAAGUGUUCAGUAUGCUCAUUUUCAUACAAAUAACUUGUUAGUUUCUUUUCACUUAUCUGUCAAAUCAGUGUGGGCUGCAAAUCUACUUUGAGAAGAAAGACUCCUGGAAAAAUAUUUUUUAAAAUCAUUAUUUCACUGCAAAAAAAUUUUUUAAAGACUCAUGGGGGUUUUUUUACAUAUUCUGAGCUAAAAGAAUUUAUGUGAUGGGUCUGGUCACUGGUAGAAGAAAAUAAAAAAAUCUGUGCAUGGGAUUAGUGCAUUGUCCCUGUGCAGAGCCUAAGGUGACAGUAUUUUCCA
Long non-coding RNA from Chiroxiphia lanceolata (lance-tailed manakin), 6521 nucleotides. RefSeq lists it as uncharacterized. NCBI's taxonomy places the organism in Eukaryota, Metazoa, Chordata, Aves, Passeriformes, Pipridae. The record is from RefSeq and is a predicted model, not a curated record. The transcript is spliced from 10 exons.